RNAcentral lists this unclassified non-coding RNA (383 nucleotides) under Hevea brasiliensis (rubber tree). Lineage: Eukaryota; Viridiplantae; Streptophyta; Magnoliopsida; Malpighiales; Euphorbiaceae. The record is from RNAcentral.
AGGAGCAAUUGGAUAAGAAGAUGAAUAGGAUAAGCCCGCACCAGUGACACUGUAUCUGAAAAACUGGUGUGAUUCCAUGCUACGAGCGUAGCAUCUGUUGUUCCACUACUGAUUCAGAAAGAGAUUGGCUGCUCGUUCUGCCCAAUCUUCCGAACAGCUACCAGUAGAUUUAGAAUCCUUUAUGCAGACCUCAAACUUCUGUUUGAAAGCAAUAGCAGCCUGAAACUUUCUGCGAAAGAGAAGAAGAAACAAAAUUUUCUAGUCUUUGAUUGAAGACUGCGACCUAUUCGGCCUUUAAAUUUUCUUUAAAAAAAAAAAAUUCUAGCGGUGGGAUUUUUUAAGUUGGAUGCAGAGUUUCUAAAAAACAAUAAACCAAGUUUCAA